Molecule: ribosomal RNA, 312 nt
Filed under: uncultured fungus
Lineage: Eukaryota; Fungi
Description: eukaryotic LSU rRNA
Rfam family: 5.8S ribosomal RNA (bases 1-52)
Source: RNAcentral
AACGCACCUUGCGCUCCUUGGUAUUCCGAGGAGCAUGCCUGUUUGAGUGUCAUGAAAUCAUCAACCACUCCCUUGGUUUUUCCGAGGUGUUUGGCUUGGACUUGGGUGUCUUGCCUCUGCUCGUCGGACGGCUCACCUUAAAAGCAUCAGUGGAUCCUGUCUUGUGCGACAUGGUUUGACUCGGCGUGAUAAGUGUUUCGCUGAGGAUCUCUGUAAAAGGAGAGCCAUGUGGUGAGCUGGCCGCUUCUAACCAUGACCUAGUCAAUCUGUCUCUUAGACCUCAGAUCAGGCAGGACUACCCGCUGAACUUAA